AGAGUUUGAUCAUGGCUCAGAAUGAACGCUGGCGGCGUGCCUAACACAUGCAAGUCGAGCGGUAAGGCCCCUUCGGGGGUACACGAGCGGCGAACGGGUGAGUAACGCGUGGGUAACCUACCCAGAAGUGGGGGAUAGCCCCGGGAAACCGGGGGUAAUACCGCAUGAGUCACAACAGACACAAGUCGGUUGUGGGAAAGGCGGGGAUCCUUCGGGACCUGUCGCUUCUGGAUGGGCCCGCGUCCGAUUAGCUUGUUGGUGGGGUAAUGGCCUACCAAGGCUGCGAUCGGUAGCCGGCCUGAGAGGGUGAACGGCCACAUUGGGACUGAGACACGGCCCAGACUCCUACGGGAGGCAGCAGUGGGGAAUUUUGGGCAAUGGGCGCAAGCCUGACCCAGCGACGCCGCGUGGAGGAUGAAGGCCUUCGGGUUGUAAACUCCUGUCAGGUGGGAAGAAAUGCCUGUCGGUUAAUAACCGACAGGAGUUGACGGUACCACCAAAGGAAGCCCCGGCUAACUCCGUGCCAGCAGCCGCGGUAAUACGGAGGGGGCAAGCGUUAUUCGGAUUUACUGGGCGUAAAGCGCACGUAGGCGGCAUGGCAAGUCGCAGGUGAAAGCCCUCGGCUCAACCGAGGAACUGCCUGCGAAACUGCCUUGCUUGAGUCCGGGAGGGGGGAGCGGAAUUCCCAGUGUAGCGGUGAAAUGCGUAGAUACUGGGAGGAACACCGGUGGCGAAGGCGGCUCCCUGGACCGGUACUGACGCUGAGGUGCGAAAGCGUGGGUAGCAAACAGGAUUAGAUACCCUGGUAGUCCACGCCGUAAACGAUGGGCACUAGGUGCAGCGGGUGUCGACCCCUGCUGUGCCGAAGUUAACGCAUUAAGUGCCCCGCCUGGGGAGUACGGUCGCAAGGCUGAAACUCAAAUGAAUUGACGG
Molecule: ribosomal RNA, 933 nt
Filed under: uncultured bacterium
Lineage: Bacteria
Description: bacterial SSU rRNA
Rfam family: Bacterial small subunit ribosomal RNA
Source: RNAcentral